CCUACGGGAGGCAGCAGUGAGGAAUAUUGGUCAAUGGACGAGAGUCUGAACCAGCCAAGUAGCGUGAAGGAUGACUGCCCUAUGGGUUGUAAACUUCUUUUAUAUGGGAAUAAAAUGUUCCACGUGUGGGAUUUUGUAUGUACCAUAUGAAUAAGGAUCGGCUAACUCCGUGCCAGCAGCCGCGGUAAUACGGAGGAUGCGAGCGUUAUCCGGAUUUAUUGGGUUUAAAGGGAGCGUAGGUGGAUUGUUAAGUCAGUUGUGAAAGUUUGCGGCUCAACCGGAAAAUUGCAGUUGAAACUGGCAGUCUUGAGUACAGUAGAGGUGGGCGGAAUUCGUGGUGUAGCGGUGAAAUGCUUAGAUAUCACGAAGAACUCCGAUUGCGAAGGCAGUUCACUGGACUGCAACUGACACUGAGGCUCGAAAGUGUGGGUAUCAAACAGGAUUAGAUACCCUAGUAGUC
Molecule: ribosomal RNA, 460 nt
Filed under: uncultured bacterium
Lineage: Bacteria
Description: partial 16S ribosomal RNA
Rfam family: Bacterial small subunit ribosomal RNA
Source: RNAcentral